Cercocebus atys (sooty mangabey) is the source of this 339-nucleotide non-coding RNA. Lineage: Eukaryota; Metazoa; Chordata; Mammalia; Primates; Cercopithecidae. The record is from the annotation of a RefSeq genome assembly.
AUGGACAUGAGGGACCCUGCUCAGCUCCUGGGGCUCCUGCUACUCUGUUUCCCAGGUGCCAAAUGUGACAUCCAGAUGACCCAGUCUCCAACCUUCCUGUCUGCAUCUGUAGGAGACAGAGUCACCAUCGCUUGCCGGGCGAGUCAAAGCAUUCACAAAGGAUUAGCCUGGUAUCAGCAGAAGCCAGGGAAAGCGCCUAAGCUGCUGAUUUCUUAUGCAUCCAAUUUGUACACUGAUGUGCCAUCGAGGUUCAGUGGCAGUGGAUCUGGGACAGAUUUCACGCCCACCAUCAGUAGCCUGCAGCCUGAAGAUGCUGCAACUUAUUAUUGUUUCCAGUAA